AUCACACAGUACACAGUACACAGUACACAGUACACAGUACACAGUACAGAUUAGUCGCUUUGUUCAAUGUCAAUGACUUGCUAAAGCCAGUGGCAAAAUGAGGAAGGGUGGCUAGACGGUGUGCCAGACCAAGCGCCGAAAGCCAGAGAAAGUGUGAGAUUUCACCGUAACAUUGUGAAAAUGUACAAUGCGUGUGCUAGCCGUGACGGUAAACAAUGAUAGAACUUUAGAGCUAAACAUGGCAAUUGAAUAGCUUAGAUCCUUAGCGCUUUGGAUUAUUAUAACAACCCAGUAAAGGAAGGAAAAGCGCAAUGUGUGUGUCUUUCGUGUUUUACUUGGCAUCCACUGCUAAAGCAACUCCAUUUUUUCCCGAACGAGCUUUGGUGUUCCCUGAACGGAAAUGGACGGACUUUCGGAAAGACUAAGCCGCGAUGAAGGCCAGAGAUUCCUUGAUUUGUUCUUGGGAUACGUGCCUCAGCUGUCAAGCUUCGCUAGUGGUAACGGCACGGCGCUUCUUGCUACUCCUGGACCAAUUGACGCCCCACUGGUGUUCUGGGGACCGAAUCUCUUUCACCAGACUGCUACGAUGAGUGUGUGUUACAGACAUGGAGAAGGCGAUGAGUAUGUACAAUCGGCGGUGGACGUCAUGCAGCGACUAUCAGCAUUGCCACACGCGUAUACGCUGGCUAAAUUCGGACAAGCGACUGUUGCAAAUCUCCUCGUUGGAGAAAUGACGGCAAUUGCUUCCGACCUGAUACUGUCAGCCGUGCAUCGAGCGCUUGGUUCCAUCCGAUUAUAUGUGUACCUGCAAGUUGGCCCCAACGGUUGCAAGUAUGUGACCGUUCAUCAGGUAAUAUUAACAAUGUUUGAUGAAGUAUAGUCAUGAAUAAGUACACUUACUGCAGAAAAGGCAAUUAUGUGGUGAAGAAAACGGGAAACCAUUCUUAUCUUCCGCUCAUUACUUUAUUGAAGAAGCCUAUUGCUUGGUAGCUCAAACCUCUUAGGAGGUGAAACAACUUUUACAGAAGAAGUGCCAUUUUCUCUGUUCUAAGUUGUUCUCUAGCAUGUAUACAUGAUUUUCUUAUGGGGAUACAUGUAGACUACGUAUGCAUUUUGUUGUACUUAGGAGGCGUCGAAAUUCAGAAAAUUGCGUUUUUUGUACUUUCAAGUGGCCAUAAAUACAAUAAAAUGCAUAAGUAUCCCCAUAAUAUGAAUAUCAUUUCUAGGGUCUAUGCAUGCCAGAGAACAACUUAGAACAGAGAAAGCGGCACUUCUUCUGUAAAGUUUGUUUCACGGUCAAAGUGGUUCGAGCUACAUUGUAUUAUAAUCUGCUAAGCACAUUUUUUACAUACGCUAUGUAUCAGUCAUGCACACACCAUGCAUCAAUGGUGCCUCCGCCAUACAUGUACAUGUACAUGUACAUGCAUACGCCGCGCAGAAACUGUUUGUACAUGUGACUAUCAUGCUGUCGGUAAUUUAGGGUGUGAAAGGCUGGCGGUAAUUCAUCAUAACUCCGUUGGUCCACCAUGUUAUUGUUACUUAUUUGGUGCUUCUUGGAUAGAAUGCGUUUGAGUGUUUGCGCUGAUAUGAAUGAUGCGGUGAUUGCUUUCAUCAGGUCCAUUU
Molecule: long non-coding RNA, 1623 nt
Organism: Sycon ciliatum
Lineage: Eukaryota; Metazoa; Porifera; Calcarea; Leucosolenida; Sycettidae
Exons: 2
Source: RefSeq, a predicted model, not a curated record